Molecule: ribosomal RNA, 254 nt
Filed under: uncultured bacterium
Lineage: Bacteria
Description: partial 16S ribosomal RNA
Rfam family: Bacterial small subunit ribosomal RNA
Source: RNAcentral
UACGUAGGGGGGCUAGCGUUGUCCGGAAUCAUUGGGCGUAAAGCGCGUGUAGGCGGCCCGAUAAGUCCGCUGUGAAAGUCCAGGGCUCAACCCUGGGAUGCCGGUGGAUACUGUCGGGCUCGAGUCCGGAAGAGGCGAGUGGAAUCCUGGUGUAGCGGUGAAAUGCGGCAGAUAUCAGGAGGAACACCAAUGGCGAAGGCAGCUCGCUGGGACGUGACUGACGCUGAGACGCGAAAGCGUGGGGAGCAAACAGG